AGCGAACGUUUGCGGCGGGCCUAACACAUGCAAGUCGAACGCACUAGCAAUAGUGAGUGGCGCACGGGUGCGUAACACGUGGGUAAUCAACCCUUCAGCUUGGGAUAACGACUUGAAAGGGUCGCUAAUACCGGAUACGGCGCGGGAGGCUUCGGCUUCUCACGAGAAAGCCUCGCAAGGGGCACUGAAGGACGAGCCUGCGGCCCAUCAGCUAGUUGGUGAGGUAAGAGCUCACCAAGGCGAAGACGGGUAGCUGGUCUGAGAGGAUGAUCAGCCACACUGGAACUGAGACACGGUCCAGACUCCUACGGGAGGCAGCAGUGGGGAAUAUUGCGCAAUGGGCGAAAGCCUGACGCAGCCACGCCGCGUGAGCGAUGAAGGCCUCGGGUCGUAAAGCUCUGUGGGGAGAGACGAAGAAAGCCCGUGAAGAGCGGGCCUUGACGGGUAAUCUCCUUAGCAAGCACCGGCUAACUCCGUGCCAGCAGCCGCGGUAAUC
RNAcentral lists this ribosomal RNA (496 nucleotides) under uncultured bacterium. RNAcentral describes it as "bacterial SSU rRNA". It matches the Rfam family "Bacterial small subunit ribosomal RNA", at positions 29 to 525 of the family's 1533-position model. The record is from RNAcentral.